Molecule: ribosomal RNA, 932 nt
Filed under: Halomonas caseinilytica
Lineage: Bacteria; Pseudomonadati; Pseudomonadota; Gammaproteobacteria; Oceanospirillales; Halomonadaceae
Description: bacterial SSU rRNA
Rfam family: Bacterial small subunit ribosomal RNA
Source: RNAcentral
UGCAGUCGAGCGGAACGAUCCUAGCUUGCUAGGAGGCGUCGAGCGGCGGACGGGUGAGUAAUGCAUAGGAAUCUGCCCGAUAGUGGGGGAUAACCUGAGGAAACUCAGGCUAAUACCGCAUACGUCCUACGGGAGAAAGCAGGGGCUCUUCGGACCUUGCGCUAUCGGAUGAGCUUAUGUCGGAUUAGCUGGUUGGUGAGGUAACGGCUCACCAAGGCGACGAUCCGUAGCUGGUCUGAGAGGAUGAUCAGCCACAUCGGGACUGAGACACGGCCCGAACUCCUACGGGAGGCAGCAGUGGGGAAUAUUGGACAAUGGGGGCAACCCUGAUCCAGCCAUGCCGCGUGUGUGAAGAAGGCCCUCGGGUUGUAAAGCACUUUCAGUGAGGAAGAAGGCUUGUCGGUUAAUACCCGGCAAGGGAGACAUCACUCACAGAAGAAGCACCGGCUAACUCCGUGCCAGCAGCCGCGGUAAUACGGAGGGUGCGAGCGUUAAUCGGAAUUACUGGGCGUAAAGCGUGCGUAGGCGGCUUGAUAAGCCGGUUGUGAAAGCCCCGGGCUCAACCUGGGAACGGCAUCCGGAACUGUCAGGCUAGAGUGCAGGAGAGGAAGGUAGAAUUCCCGGUGUAGCGGUGAAAUGCGUAGAGAUCGGGAGGAAUACCAGUGGCGAAGGCGGCCUUCUGGACUGACACUGACGCUGAGGUACGAAAGCGUGGGUAGCAAACAGGAUUAGAUACCCUGGUAGUCCACGCCGUAAACGAUGUCGACUAGCCGUUGGGGUCCUCGAGACCUUUGUGGCGCAGUUAACGCACUAAGUCGACCGCCUGGGGAGUACGCCGCAAGGUUAAAACUCAAUGAAUUGACGGGGCCGCACAGCGGUGGAGCAUGGUGGUUUAAUUCGAUGCACGCGAGACCUUACUACCCUUGACAUCG